Molecule: ribosomal RNA, 585 nt
Filed under: uncultured bacterium
Lineage: Bacteria
Description: bacterial SSU rRNA
Rfam family: Bacterial small subunit ribosomal RNA
Source: RNAcentral
ACGGUUGAGUAACACGUGAGAAUCUGCCCUUUAGUGAAGAAUACCCUUGGGAAACUGAGGUUAAUACUGCAUAAGUCCCCUUUUUGGGGAGAAAGAUGGCCUCUUUGCUAUCGCUAAAGGAUGAGCUUGCGGCCUAUCAGUUAGUUGGUGAGGUAAUGGCUCACCAAGACGAUGACGGGUAGCCGGCCUGAGAGGGUGAACGGCCAGACUGGAACUUAGACACGGUCCAGACUCCUACGGGAGGCAGCAGUGGGGAAUAUUGCGCAAUGGGCGAAAGCCUGACGCAGCGACGCCGCGUGGAGGAUGAAGGCCUUAGGGUUGUAAACUUCUGUUAAGUGGGAAGAAAGAAUUGUGGCUAAUAUCCACAAGAGAUGACGGUACCAUUAGAGAAAGCACCGGCUAAACUCGUGCCAGCAGCCGCGGUAAUACGAGUGGUGCAAAUGUUAUUCGGAUUUAUUGGGCGUAAAGGGUGCGUAGACGGCAUAGUAAGUCAGCUGUUAAAUUUUCCGGCCUAACCGGAAGCUUGCGGUAGAAACUACUAAGCUAGAGGAUGGAAGAGAGAAGUGGAAUUCUCGGAGUAGCGGU